CCAAUAGCGUAUAUUAAAGUUGUUGCAGUUAAAACGCUCGUAGUUGAAUUUCGGGGUCAGUAGGUUGGUCGUGCCACAGGUACGUACUGGUCUCACUGAUUCCUCCUUCCUGAUGAACCGUAAUGCCAUUAAUUUGGUGUUGCGGGGAAACUGGACUGUUACUUUGAAAAAAUUAGAGUGUUUAAAGCAGGCUAACGCUUGAAUACAUUAGCAUGGAAUAAUGAAAUAGGACGUUCGAUCCUAUUUUGUUGGUUUCUAGGAUUGACGUAAUGAUUAAUAGGGAUAGUUGGGGGCAUUAGUAUUCAAUUGUCAGAGGUGAAAUUCUUGGAUUUAUUGAAGACUAACUACUGCGAAAGCAUUUGCCAAGGAUGUUUUCAUUAAUCAAGAACGAAAGUUAGGGGAUCGAAGACGAUCAGAUACCGUCGUAGUCUUAACCAUAAACUAUGCCGACUAGGGAUCGGAUGAUGUUAAUUUUUUAAUGACUCAUUCGGCGCCUUACG
Molecule: ribosomal RNA, 500 nt
Filed under: uncultured Glomeromycotina
Lineage: Eukaryota; Fungi; Glomeromycota
Description: partial small subunit ribosomal RNA
Rfam family: Eukaryotic small subunit ribosomal RNA
Source: RNAcentral